RNAcentral lists this ribosomal RNA (253 nucleotides) under uncultured bacterium. RNAcentral's name for it is "partial 16S ribosomal RNA". It matches the Rfam family "Bacterial small subunit ribosomal RNA", at positions 524 to 776 of the family's 1533-position model. The record is from RNAcentral.
UACGUAGGGUGCAAGCGUUGUCCGGAAUUAUUGGGCGUAAAGAGCUCGUAGGCGGCCAGUUGCGUCUGCUGUGAAAUCCCGGGGCUCAACCCCGGGCGUGCAGUGGAUACGGGCUGGCUAGAGGCAGGCAGGGGAGAACGGAAUUCCCGGUGUAGCGGUGAAAUGCGCAGAUAUCAGGAGGAACACCAAUGGCGAAGGCAGCUCGCUGGGACGGUACUGACGCUGAGACGCGAAAGCGUGGGGAGCAAACAGG